GUACCCUGUCGCAUGUUAGCCUCGGACUACGAAUCUGGGGGUCAGAGGUUCGAAUCCUUUCGGGCGCGCCA
RNAcentral lists this transfer RNA (71 nucleotides) under Methylobacterium sp. UNC378MF. RNAcentral's name for it is "tRNA_Arg_ACG". Lineage: Bacteria; Pseudomonadati; Pseudomonadota; Alphaproteobacteria; Hyphomicrobiales; Methylobacteriaceae. The record is from RNAcentral.